GACGAACGCUGGCGGCGUGCCUAAUACAUGCAAGUAGAACGCUGAAGGAGGAGCUUGCUUCUCUGGAUGAGUUGCGAACGGGUGAGUAACGCGUAGGUAACCUGCCUGGUAGCGGGGGAUAACUAUUGGAAACGAUAGCUAAUACCGCAUAAUAUUGACUAUUGCAUGAUAGUCAGUUGAAAGGUGCAACUGCACCACUACCAGAUGGACCUGCGUUGUAUUAGCUAGUUGGUGGGGUAACGGCUCACCAAGGCGACGAUACAUAGCCGACCUGAGAGGGUGAUCGGCCACACUGGGACUGAGACACGGCCCAGACUCCUACGGGAGGCAGCAGGAGGGAAUCUUCGGCAAUGGACGGAAGUCUGACCGAGCAACGCCGCGUGAGUGGAGAAGGUUGUCGGAUCGUAAAGCUCGGUUGUAAGAGAAGAACGAGUGUGAGAGUGGAAAGCUCACACUGUGACGGUAGCUUACCAGAAAGGGACGGCUAACUACGUG
This 495-nucleotide ribosomal RNA is filed under the name uncultured bacterium. Its description in RNAcentral is "partial 16S ribosomal RNA". It matches the Rfam family "Bacterial small subunit ribosomal RNA", at positions 28 to 507 of the family's 1533-position model. The record is from RNAcentral.